UGGCAAGGUAGUUUAGUUUAAAAUGUUUAUUUUACACGUAAAAGAUAGAUUGAGGUCUUAUUGUCAG
Molecule: transfer RNA, 67 nt
Filed under: Ogmocotyle sikae
Lineage: Eukaryota; Metazoa; Platyhelminthes; Trematoda; Plagiorchiida; Notocotylidae
Description: tRNA-Val
Source: RNAcentral